UGUGUGUCGUAGUUAACGCGUUAAACAGGGCGCCUGGGAAGUACGGCCGCAAGGCUAAAACCCAAAGGAAUUGACGGGGACCCGCACAAGCAGUGGAGCGCCUGGUUUAAUUCGAUGGUCAGCGAAGAACCUCACCUAGGCUUGAACUGUAGCUGCACGCUCCCAGAAACGGGAGAAUCCUUCGAGGGUGCUACAGAGGUGCUGCAUGGCUGUCGUCAGCUCGUGUCGUGAGAUGUAGGGUUAAGUCCCACAACGAGCGCAACCCCUAUUCAGUGUUAUAAUUACUCUGAAGACUGCCCUGUCCAAACGGGGAGGAAGGAGGGGACGACGUCCAGUCAUCAUGUCCCUUAUGUCUAGGGCUACACAGACGCUACAAUGGCCGGUACAAUGGGUUGCCAAACCGCGAGGUGGAGCCAAUCCCAUCAAAGCCGGUCCCAGUUCGGAUUGCAGUCUGCAACUCGACUGCAUGAAGUUGGAAUUGCUAGUAAUCGCGAAUCAGCACGUCGCGGUGAAUACGUUCUCGGGUCUUGUACACACCGCCCGUCAGGGCACGGGAGUCGCUCUUGCUCGAAGU
This 574-nucleotide ribosomal RNA is filed under the name uncultured organism. RNAcentral describes it as "bacterial SSU rRNA". It matches the Rfam family "Bacterial small subunit ribosomal RNA", at positions 840 to 1427 of the family's 1533-position model. The record is from RNAcentral.